Molecule: ribosomal RNA, 757 nt
Filed under: uncultured archaeon
Lineage: Archaea
Description: bacterial SSU rRNA
Rfam family: Archaeal small subunit ribosomal RNA
Source: RNAcentral
GGAUAAUCUACCCUUAGGACCGGGAUAACCCUGGGAAACUGGGGAUAAUACUGGAUAGGCAAUUAUUCCUGUAAUGGUUUUUUGUUUAAAUGUUUUUUCGCCUAAGGAUGAGUCUGCGGCCGAUUAGGUAGUUGGUUAGGUAAUGGCUUACCAAGCCGUUGAUCGGUACGGGUUGUGAGAGCAAGAGCCCGGAGAUGGAACCUGAGACAAGGUUCCAGGCCCUACGGGGUGCAGCAGGCGCGAAACCUCCGCAAUGUGAGAAAUCGCGACGGGGGGAUCCCAAGUGCCAUUCUUAACGGGAUGGCUUUUCAUUAGUGUAAAGAGCUUUUGGAAUAAGAGCUGGGCAAGACCGGUGCCAGCCGCCGCGGUAACACCGGCAGCUCUAGUGGUAACAAUUUUUAUUGGGCCUAAAGCGUCCGUAGCCGGUUUAAUAAGUCUCUGGUGAAAUCCUGUAGCUUAACUGUGGGAAUUGCUGGAGAUACUAUUAGACUUGAGACCGGGAGAGGUUAGAGGUACUCCCAGGGUAGAGGUGAAAUUCUGUAAUCCUGGGAGGACCGCCUGUUGCGAAGGCGUCUAACUGGAACGGUUCUGACGGUGAGGGACGAAAGUUAGGGGCGCGAACCGGAUUAGAUACCCGGGUAGUCCUAACUGUAAACGAUGCGGACUUGGUGUUGGGGUGGCUUUGAGCUGUCCCAGUGCCGAAAGGGAAGCUGUUAAGUCCGCCGCCUGGGAAGUACGUCGCAAGACUGAAACUUAA